Molecule: ribosomal RNA, 140 nt
Filed under: uncultured bacterium
Lineage: Bacteria
Description: partial 16S ribosomal RNA
Rfam family: Bacterial small subunit ribosomal RNA
Source: RNAcentral
CACAAUGGGCGCAAGCCUGAUCUAGCCAUGCCGCGUGUGUGAUGAAGGCCUUAGGGUCGUAAAGCACUUUCGCCAGAGAUGAUAAUGACAGUAUCUGGUAAAGAAACCCCGGCUAACUCCGUGCCAGCAGCCGCGGUAAU